This 734-nucleotide long non-coding RNA is filed under the name Equus caballus (horse). RNAcentral describes it as "lncRNA (ENSECAG00000058898.1)". The record is from RNAcentral. Lineage: Eukaryota; Metazoa; Chordata; Mammalia; Perissodactyla; Equidae.
UUCUCAUAGAAGGAAGGACCUAAUAAACCCUGAGUGAAUGAAUGAAUGAAUGAAUGGGCCCCACAGCAAACAGCCCAAUAUCAAGCACACAAUUGACCUCAAGUAAACAGAUAUUGUUUGAGGUUAUUAUGUUCCCAGGAACAUAUACUGAAAUGCUGAAGCCACACUAACAUUAAGUGGGUAAAACAUCACAUGAGUUGUUAACAACAAUAACAUCUCCCGUGCGAGUCGUCUGAUCUCCCCAGCCCUUGGGUCUCUCCUCACUGCCGCCAGACUUUGGGCACCUCCUGGAUCGCUCAACUCGGGUCCUGGGAGCACAUUUGUGAGGCCUCAAAGCUGAAAGCUACUAGACUUUCUGCUCAGGAGCUCUCAGCCCAGUGCCAGCCACAUCCCUGGACCAGGCCACGGCCAAGCAAGACUUCAGCCUCCAGUGCGAGACAGGCCUCAGCAGUGCGUGACCUGGAGUGGCAUCAAGCCAGCCUGGGGUUUCCAGGGACCUUCCUGACUGAUUCACCAGAAAGACCCUUUCAUCCCGUCCUGUGCCCCAGGUGGGACCUGCACAACGGCACUAGGCUGGAGCAGAGGUGUGGGGGUGGGGAGGCCUUUCCCACAUUGUUGGGCUGAAGGAAGUGAAGUCUUCAACGAAGACAGUGAAACAGCUGAGGGAGGCGGAGCUGGGGGAGAAGAGGAGGAUCCAGAGGUCUGAGGGGUCCCCAUCACAGUGAAGAGCCCAG